RNAcentral lists this ribosomal RNA (178 nucleotides) under uncultured bacterium. RNAcentral's name for it is "partial 16S ribosomal RNA". It matches the Rfam family "Bacterial small subunit ribosomal RNA", at positions 332 to 526 of the family's 1533-position model. The record is from RNAcentral.
AUUACUCCUACGGGAGGCAGCAGUGGGGAAUAUUGGACAAUGGGCGCAAGCCUGAUCCAGCAAUACCGCGUGUGUGAAGAAGGCCUGCGGGUUGUAAAGCACUUUCAGUUGGGAAGAUAAUGACGUUACCAACAGAAGAAGCCCCGGCUAACUUCGUGCCAGCAGCCGCGGUAAUAAU